Molecule: long non-coding RNA, 378 nt
Filed under: Mytilus galloprovincialis (Mediterranean mussel)
Lineage: Eukaryota; Metazoa; Mollusca; Bivalvia; Mytilida; Mytilidae
Source: RNAcentral
CCGUCACCGGAAAAAACUCGUCAAUUAUACACGCCUUUAUGACGUCAUUCACCAGAUCGAGGGGCUCGCCUGUAUCCCUGCACUAUUUACGUUCAUCAAGCGUCUUAGUGAUCGUCACUGUGAAGGAUAAACUAGAAAUAAUGGUUGUUCUGUAGGUACUUAUUGCCAAUUCCCUAAUGACAGCAGUGCUGGUUGUCAAUUUUGAGAAUUCAAUUUGCCGAAUAAUUCGUACAAUAUAGAAUUAUAGUUUUCCAACCACUCGCUCAACAUUGGAAUGGAAGUGACGACGCCCCUAAACGCACAAAUGACGGUGAUAAAGGCGCGUAUAAUUGACGAGUUUUUUCCGGUGACGGAUGAACUCGAAAGUGGUCUAUUGCC